Molecule: ribosomal RNA, 253 nt
Filed under: uncultured bacterium
Lineage: Bacteria
Description: partial 16S ribosomal RNA
Rfam family: Bacterial small subunit ribosomal RNA
Source: RNAcentral
UACGUAGGGCGCAAGCGUUGUCCGGAAUUAUUGGGCAUAAAGAGCUCGUAGGCGGUUUGUCGCGUCUGCUGUGAAAACCUAAGGCUCAACCUUGGGCUUGCAGUGGGUACGGGCAGACUAGAGUGCGGUAGGGGUGACUGGAAUUCCUGGUGUAGCGGUGGAAUGCGCAGAUAUCAGGAGGAACACCGAUGGCGAAGGCAGGUCACUGGGCCGCAACUGACGCUGAGGAGCGAAAGCGUGGGGAGCGAACAGG